AACUUUGUUGUGUAGUAGUAAUCAUCGUUAGAGCUCCCAGUCAUGCAUUCUAAGAAGUGCACCUCACUCCAGAAAAUAGCAUGAGUCCAAUUAACAAUGCUUGUGCCAGAUAUUUGCUCCUUGAAGUAGCUGCAAAUGAUACAAUUGAAAAUAAAUUAUAAUGCAGGCUGCCACCGUCAGGUUGGCUUAACAGCCCCAAGUCAAUUCUUCAAGAGAAUAGGGAGGUGAGAAACUAAACUCGGGAGGAAAUGGAACGACAGGGUGAUCACCUGAUUGAAUUGUUGAGGCAUAAAUUGAUGUCCUUUCUUAACAUCACAGAAGUAGAAGGCCUCCUGUAAAUGGUGUCCACAGGAAAUCAUACAGUAAACCCCUUACUUAUGAAUUGUGUGAUAUCUGCAUAACUUGCAUUCUGUAGCUGUCCCCAAUCAGAGGAGUACUCGUCAGUGUCGUUACCAAAUGGAAUCUCUCCCAGGUAUCCACAGUAAGGUUCAAGAUCUUCAACCGCACAAUAUGCAUAAUUAGACACCCAGACAUAAACAUGUGAAUUUUUGGCACUCUGGCAAGCAACAGGCUUGUAUGCACCUUUAUUCAUUACUGCUCUUGAACAAUUAGCAAAACAUGCUCUGUAAUAACUCCGAGUGGCCAAAUACCGAAAGCCAGGUGGUGAAACAGAAUCAAUUCCGCCCAAGUAUCUACCAAAGUAUCCACCAAAGUAUCUACCAAAGUAUCCACCAAAGUAUCUACCAAAGUAAGGAAGGUGAUUCCACAGUGGAAGAGGGCAGCUGCUACUAGUAUCGAAGUUGGUGUCCAUGACCGAGAAGUAGAAACCGGUGUAGUUGAUGGCAGUCACAUAGUAUGUUCCAGUGUUGAUGUGAAUCGUAGCCUUGCCACCGGUGCAACCCAGCUCGUAUGCUUCAACACCACAAUCAAGAGGAUCACCUCGCUGACGGAAAGGAGGCAAUAUGUCUCGGAGAUGUCCACAGGAGAAAGGUGAGCACCCAUAAUCUCCUCCCUGGACAUGCUCUGCUGCAAAAACUACAACGAGGGAGAAGACAGUUAAGGAUUGUAGGGUAAUAGAAUGAUGAGAUGCACCAGGGUUCCCCAUGAAAGCUUCACAUAUGCACUAUGAACUUCAUAUCCUAGUUACUUAUGUUAUAGAGUACUAAGGGGGGCAAGGAAUCGACAUCAACUAGUUGAUCAUAUCCAGCUGUAUAUACCAAUUAAUAGUGUGGUUGGGAUACUGAUUAUGACUUCAUUGGUAUAUACAUGAAGUUCAGAACAAGAGGAAGAUAUUUCUCUCCCAUUGUGUAGCUAGGAACAAAAGACGACUCGGGCUUGGAGUCUUCUGUCCCAUGGCCGUUUUCUCCAGAGAUGACAAUGAAAACAUAUAAGAACUUCCACGCAAUGCAAAAUACCAAUUGACACAUAUUUAUUGCUCAUGGCCGUUUUCUCCAGAGAUGACAAUGACAACAUACAAGAACUUCCAUGCAAUGCAAAAUGCCAAUUGACACAUAUAUUUAUUGCAAAAACAACAAACGGGAUAAGACAGUUAAGGCUUGUAGGGCAAUACAAUGAUGAAAUGCAACGGGGUUCCCCAUGAAAGCUUCACAGACGCACUAGGGACAUGAUAUCCUAGUUUGUUCUGUUAAGACUACCAAGGAGGGCAAUGGAUCGAUAUCGACUAGUUGAUCAUAUCCAGCUGCAUAUACCAAUUAAUAGUGUGGUUGGGAACUUGGGAUACUGAUUAUGACUUCAUUGGUAUAUACACGACGUGCGAAAUAGGAAGAUAUUCUCUCAAUUGUGUAGCUAGGAACAGAAGACGACCCAGACUUGGAGUCUUCUGUCCCGUCAUUUUUUCCAGAGAUACUCGACGCUGUAGGAUAGAUUUUCCACACUGUGACAGCUGCCCAUAGACUGCACAGUAGAUAGUGGACUGAACCUGUGGCUUUAGUCUGAUUGCGGACUUGGUUCAGCCCACUGCCAAUAGACUAGACAGUGGACUGAACCAAGUCUGCAAUCACACUAAAACCACAAGAGCUCAUCCUCAGGCGCUGGACAGUUCGACCGUGGCCGUGGCCGCAGCCGCUAUGUCUGGCAGCAUGAUGAGAAUAAGCCAGGUGGUGAAACAAAAUAAAUUCCGCCGUGGCCGUAGCUUUGAGAGACCAAAUACCGAAAUCCAGGUGGUGAAACAGAAUCAAUUCCACUAUAGUAACCAAAGUAGUAAGAGCAUGAUUCCACUGUGGAAGAGGGCAGCUUUUUUCUCGAAAAGGAGGAUUACCCCCGGCCUCUGCAUCAAGCGAAGAAGAGGGCAGCUGCUACUGGUGCUGAAGGUGGGAUCCAUGGCCCAAAAGUAGAAGCCGGGUAGUUGAUGGUAGUCACAUAGUAUGUUUCUGUUGAUGUGAAUCGUAACCUUGCUACUGAUACAACUCAGCUCGUAUGCUUGAAUGCCGCACUGCAGAGGAUCACCUUACCAACUGAACCUGUAACUCAUGUUCUUGUCUCUUUAUACAAAUCAUCCCAGCUAUAUCGGAGCGUUUGAGAUAUACUUUAAAUAAAUGAAUGGUUUGCAUAAUGGUGACAGCUACGCUUGUGCAAAUGUUGCAAAUAAUUUGGGUGCUUCCCAAAUAUUACAACGAAGUCGUGUCCGAUGGUUCGGUGUUAAGUCUCGAUCUAAAACAUCGCAAGAGAGAAGUCGGUUUACUUAUUCACCAUUUAGCAAAGUGACAAAAUAAAAUAUUCAAGUUAAAUUAUUUAAUUAAAUUAAAUCAAACUUUAAAUAGGGAAAAGUUCUGGGAUGUUCUCAUCCCGUGAUCCAGGAUGAGAAGGGGAAAGAGGGUUCGUGUACGAAUAUUCGCGGUCCAUAUUGAUUACACCACUAACAAAUAGUCCUUGCAUCAUAUUGAACAUGAGAUCCUUCCAUUGAAAGGUUGAUGGCGCAACUAAACUAUUAGGUUGGUCAAGCGAAUGUCCCCACGAUGAAAUCUUAAAUCAUGCUAGACUCAACUUCAGUCGAAAUACAAAAAUAUAAGGAACAAAAACAAAAGGGAUUAGAGCUCUCGGACUGACACAACUCUCCCCAAAUUAUAAGAGUCUUGCCACAAGAUUCAGAAAGAAAAAAAGAGGAAGAGGUUUGGCUAUAAGUUGCUUCUUUGACAAAGAAGUGAUACCAAAGAACCUUGGGAGUUUGAAAAACUUGAAAAAAAAACAUGAAAGACAAGAAAAGAAUUUGAAACGCUCCGGGUGAAAAGAGGGUGAAGGGACACGACAAGAACUUUCGCAAGAAGGGAAUAAAACUUCGAGAGAAAGCAAAACACGAUUGCUUACGAAACAAAUGACUAGUGAGCACCCAUAUUCUCCACCCUGUGCAUGAUCUGCGGUAAAAACUGCAAAUGACGGAGAAGACAGUGAAGGAUUGCAAAGUAAUAGAAGGAUGAAAUGCACCAGAGUUCCCCAUGAAAGAUUCACAGAUGCACUAGGGACUUGAUAUCCUAUUUAGUUCUGUUAUUAAGAGUACUGAUUAAUCACUGGGCAAGGGGUCGACAUCGACAAGUUGAUCAUAUCCAGCUGUAUAUGUCAAUUAAUAGUGUGAGUAGGCACUGGUAUAUGCAUGACGUGCAGAAGAGGGAAAUAUGCUCUCGAUUGUGUAGCUAGGAGCAGAAGACGACCCAGACUUGGAGUCUUGUGUCCCGUCACUGUAAUUCAUUUUUUGCAGGGAUUCUCCUCAUCCUCAAGCCUAUAGACGAAUAAGUGCUGUUUCUUUUUGCACUUCUUCUUCUUCCUCUUGCUCAAUAUCUUGGUACAGCAGUACAGAAAGAUGAGUAAAUUACUUGCCAUAGCACUCCUGCUGCUGUCUCUGAUCAACCACAGAAUCUACUUGGCCACGGCAUGGGAUGAUAAAGAUUUCUUCAAAUACUGCCCACCGUCCAACUGCAGCCAACAUGGUCCAGAGGUCAGGUUUCCUUUCUGCCUUGAAUCCAGCAAUAAAUCGUCGUCAUCAUCAUCAUCAUGUGGAUGUGCCGGCAGAUCAAUCAGGAAGUUAGCAUGCUCUGGUCAAGACACCAUCCUAGUUCACCCAGUUCUUGGCCCAUACAAUGUCAGCGCCAUAGAUUACAUAUAUUCUUCCAUGAAGAUCAUCCCGCUUGUAGACCCCUGUAUGGUGCUACAGCAGAAGCUCGUCAUCUCCAGAAGCUCGUCAUCUCCACAGGUUGAUGUUAUCAACGAUGAGAAGCCAAGUCUUCAAUUUUUCGAAUGGACUUCUACUGCCCUAGUACGCUGUUCAAGAGAGUUCACACCUGGUGUUGCCGAUAGAAUUGCUGGCCCAGUCUCCUGCAUUAGCAACACAACCCACUUCUUGUAUUUGGUGGCUGGCUAUGAAGACAUGUCUCUUCUUCCGUUGGACUGCAAGGUCGUCCCACUCUCAGAUGGUGUCGGUGGCGGCCUGAUACCCAUGUAUGAGUUUGACGACCCAACGUCAGACAAGCUCUCAGUGUCCUUCAAGGAACGCACAGAGAGAAUGCUCAGUUUUGCUGAGACGACAGUGUAUUUGUUUAAUUACUUUUGCGCAGAAUGUGAACGCAGUGGGGGACGCUGCGCGUUCAGCUCACAAAGGGAUAGACGAUUCUGCAUGCCAGGCCCACAUGGUAUGAGUCAAAAACCAUAUAUAACAUCAUUCUUUUUUAUUCUGUACUAAAGUUGUGAAAUCAAUUAGGAUUUUACUAUACAAUUUACUCAUUCUACAGCUCCAUGUGUUUGAAUCUCCAUGGGAUUUUCGGUCAACUAAGCUUUUUUCAAAAUUAGCAUCACAAAUCCUGCUCGAGCAAUCACACUGAAGGACCUGGACAAAAACCUGAGCAGUAGUCCAGCAGGAAAAAAAAUGUUUUGUUCAUCUAUCAGACACUACCGGCCUUAAAUAAUCUGGAACUCUUUAGUCAUUACUUAUUCUACAAAUUUCUAUGCAACACUCAAUUAACAUGCAUGGCUGCUCCUGCUGCUGCGCUUGAGGGAGCGGGGAUUGAUGGAAUUUGGGCAGGUUUAGAGGGAGCGGCGAAUUGGGGAGGACAGAGCAGAGUAAGGGAGAGAACCGACUGCCACUGAGUGCACAUGCAUGUGACUGCAGGCAUUUUCUGAACAAAAGUUGCCCACUCAGUCAAAGGGCCUUAAGUUGACUCUAACUGCUAUAUGCAUGGCAAAAAUGUUAGAAAAACUAAUAGGCCAGUCACUGUCAUAAAUAGCACCAAAACAAUACAAAUUUCCCUAAAAAGGAAAUUGGGUUGAUAAGUUGCGACAGAUUUUCUCUCUCUCUCUUCUAGAAAAGGCAUCCAUAAAUAGCAUGGUAUAUUUGUUCCUGAUAUACUAGGGCAAGGUACUGCAGCCACGGUAGACAACACUCAAUUUGUCUGUUCUACAUUUGUUUGUAAAUAUAACUCCUUGUUGCUUAUCUUAUUCUCUUUCUUGGUAUUUGCAGGUUCACGUAUCAAAGUCAUUGCAGGUACUGCUCUAUCAGUGUCUUUUUAACUACAAAAUGUAAAAGGAAAAAUUAAAGCUUUCUUUUGUACAAAUUCUUAUUACUCUGACUCUUGACAUCCUCUUAUCAUAACAAAUAGUACUAAAUAACGGCAUUUAAGUCCUGGUGCAAUGUGCUGAUGACGUAUUGUUUGCUUAUUCAGCUACAUCAUCGGUGGCUGCAUUUGUUGUUCUUUUGUUGACGGUGGCCACUGUGCUUUAUCUUUCACUCAAGACAAGAUAUAAUGCGGAGAUACAUAUGAAGGUUGAAAUGUUUCUCAAGACAUAUGGAACAUCAAAACCGACAAGGUACACUUUCUCUGAAGUUAAGAAGAUGGCACGACGGUUUAAGGAAAAAGUAGGGCAGGGAGGAUUUGGAAGUGUGUACAAAGGCGAGCUACCAAAUGGAGUGCCUGUGGCAGUCAAGAUGCUAGAGAACUCUACAGGAGAGGGAGAAUCAUUCAUCAAUGAAGUUGCAACCAUCGGAUUAAUCCACCAUGCCAAUAUCGUCCGCCUCCUGGGGUUUUGUUCCGAAGGGAUGAGACGGGCUCUUAUUUAUGAAUUCAUGCCUAAUGAGUCACUAGAGAAAUACAUAUUCUCUGAUGACUCUAAUAUUUUUCAGAAUCUUCUAGUACCAGAGAAGCUCCUAGAUAUUGCUUUAGGCAUCGCCCGAGGUAUGGAGUACUUACAUCAAGGGUGCAACCAGCGCAUCCUCCACUUUGACAUCAAGCCUCACAAUAUCUUGCUGGAUUACAACUUCAAUCCAAAGAUCUCAGACUUUGGCCUGGCCAAGUUGUGUGCAAGGGACCAAAGCAUCGUCACCUUAACAGCAGCAAGAGGCACAAUGGGCUAUAUUGCACCAGAGCUAUACUCUCGGAACUUUGGGGGAGUAUCGUACAAGUCAGACGUGUACAGUUUCGGCAUGCUGGUGCUAGAAAUGGUGAGCGGGAGGAGGAAUUUAGACCCAAGAAUCGGGAGCCAGGACGAUGUUUACCUCCCUGAGUGGAUCUACGAGAAAGUGAUCAAUGGGGAGGAGUUGGCGCUUACUUUGGAAACGACUCAAGAAGAGAAAGACAAGGUGAGGCAGCUGGCUAUGGCGGCACUGUGGUGCAUCCAGUGGAACCCGAGAAACCGGCCGUCGAUGACAAAGGUCGUGAACAUGUUAACGGGGAGGCUGCAGAGUUUGCAGAUGCCCCCGAAGCCUUUUGUCUCAUAUGAAAAUGAACCUAUGCCAUAAAUCAAAACAGGGACUACCAUACUCUGUCAACAUUCAGGGACUACCAUGCUCUGUCAACACUGUAUUUCUAUACUUUCAGUCCAUAUAAUAGGUCUGGAGAUGUAUGAAUAAUCACUGGUCACUACCAUUGUAAUAGUACUCUACUAGUUGUUUGCAAGACAUGCAGAUUCACAAUUGGACUUGUAUUUUAACAGCUACGCCCAUAUUUAUCUUCAAAAGUAGCAAAUACUCUGUUGAUUACCUUAUUCUGCCUCCACUCCCAUAUUUCUCUGCAUAUGACAGUUAGUAGAUCUCCUCUUAUGAUGUCCUUUGGAGCACAAAGUGAAUGUGAUCCACAUUCACUCGUUUCACUUAUCUCAUCUGCAAUUCGAUAAAAUGACAUCAAACAUCCACAUCAAUUGGAGCUUCACUUAUUUGCAAGAUAGGCAGAUUACCUUAUUCGAUCUCCACUCGCAUACUUCUCUGCAUUGCAGUCCGUCCACAUCUGACAAUUAGUGGAUCUCCUCUUUGCACUUUAACAUAGAUUAAAAUCGCGGGAGAAACGAUUUCACAGCGGCCUCUCCCAGCAGCUAUAGCGGCCGCCAUAGCGGGCAAUCGGAGCAAAUAGCGGAAAUUUUUCUGGUGGAAGAGAUGAUUUCUAAAGGGUUUGCUCAUUGUUGAGCCAUUUAGAGGGAUUUGUGGGGGAUUUUGCGGCAGCAGCCAUAGCGUAGCGGCGAGGCUCCCGGCUAGCUAUAGCGCAGUUAUAGCGGCUAUUUCGUGGGCUAUUUGAAUCUAUGACUUUAAGUGAUAUCUGACGGAGCUUUUCCUGUCCAGCACAAGGUGAAUGUGAUCCAGGUUCACUUACUUCACUUGUGUCGUCUGCAACUCGAUAAAAUGGCAUCGAUGCAUCAAACAUCCACAUCAAUUCGAGCUUCACUUAUUUCAUCAUCAGUAUAAUAACAAACUAAUAAGGAGUAGGUCCGAAACUGUGGGAGGGAUCGAAAAUCUGAGGAGUGAUGUACCUCUUGUUCUUGAAAUGUGUGUGUGAGAGAGAGGAAUCGAAUCGCGGCUGCUGCUCCUUGCUGCGGUUGCGGACUGCUGCUACCUGACCGCUGAUUCAGUCACCGAUGUGGAGGGCGACGGCCGGGGGUCACCUCCCUGCCGGCUGCUCUUGCUGGGCUGGGGAAACCGGCACAUGCUUGCUAACGUUGGAAGCGGACGGGCGGCGGAAGUCGUGGGCGAAGAACCGUGGAGGCGGCUGGGACGGAUGAGAAUGGUGGAUAUAGGAUCCCCGGCCAGAAAGGCAGUUUGUGACAAAGCAGUGGAUAACAACAAUAGUAGCUUCAGUCUCAGGACCAUAUAUCAGCACUGCUGUUGUUCGAGAACAUCAGCAGUGUCCCAUCUACUAUGUAACUGACAAUGCUUUCAACUGUCAGCAUUACUGAAAUUUCCAAGCGGAACCCCUCGUUGCACUGCGCACAGGUGGCAUUUACAUGACGGGGUUGCACCAAGCCUAUGCAGCCACCCUGCAUAAGAUCGAAGACUACAUGCAAGAAGAUCAGCCUUGGCUCUGGUUCUUGAAGGCAAAUUAUGUAGUUCCAUGACCACCAUGAUUUCUUAGCUGCAAAGAAGAAGAAAAACUAUAUGUAUCUUCGGGGUACUUGGUGGUGCGCAGUUCUGAAGGGGAGAAUAUUUGUUUAGUUUCUGCUGAGAUGAGAGGCUCUGCAACAAUGCAAAUAUUUGUUUAGUUUCUGCUGCCUAGCUAGUUUCUGUGGCAUACUGAACUUUGUUCAUGAGAGCAUGCAUGGCCAUAUGAUGCUGGAAACUCGACCUGGAUUGAUGUUGUUGUAAGCCAAAACUGUAGCAAAUCCACUGCAACUUACAGAUUGGCGAUCUGCUGCCGAUUUGCUGGCUUCCAGGAGCUGAAUUCUGCCGCCACCGAGACCUUGAUGUCCUCCUAGAGUCCCUUGAGUAGCUACUUGAGACCAGCUUUGGUGAGGCUCCAUCGCAUCCCAUUGUAGUCAAUCUGCUCACAGCUCACUGUGGCCGUGUCUCGAUGGUAGAUGUCGCCAUAGCGGUGUUGGUGGUGGGGGGAAUUUCUGGCUCUGAAUACCAAGUGUUAGCACGGCAAUAGUUCACUGGGUGGAAUUCAGAGAACUAGAGUAUUCGUUUCUGAAUCACUCGAUUACAAGCACACUGGUGCUGAAUUGGAGAACAAGAAAUAGAAGGAAAGGUUGAGAGCCAGGUAGUUGGUAGCUGCCGUUGUUGCCAUGCUGUGAUCGAACUUCGAUGCCUGCAGCUGAUGUGACGGAUUCUUCACUGAUCCAUCUUUCAAACUUUUCAGUCUGUGUAUUGCCGUUAUCACUUGUAAUCUGUAUAAGAUGUAACCAUUGCUCUGCAAUAUUCUGUCGGCAUGAAUGCAUGAUGGAACUUUGUUCAUGAGAGCAUGGCCAUAUGCUGCUUGAAACCCGAUCUGGAAUUAUGUUGCUGUAAACUAAAACUGUGUUCAUAUUAUUUUUUUGGUCUUAUUUGUCGCACUGGAAUCGGAAUGUAAGUUAGCUUUCAGUGAUUUUGAUGGAAUGUCCUCUGUUUUUCUAAGAAAAGAAACAAAGUUGUCCAAACAAAGAUUUGUUUUUCCAGAAAGGAAUAUUUUCUCUCUCUCUCUCUCACCUUUCCCAUCACAGGGGAAAUCCUGCCUCAAGUGGUUCGAACAUCUUUUUUUUUGUCUUGUCGGUCGGAACUUGCAUCUAUAAUAGUAAUAAGUAAAUAAGCAAUUGUGUAAUUUAAAAUUUAACUGAAAUUACUCGAUUUGUGUUCCUCUAUGACAAGUGCAGAUCCAUGAAGGCAGUAUGUGACAGGGGCUGCCAUAUACUCCCUCCGUCCAGAAAUAUUUAUCGGAGAAAUGAAUGUAUCUAGAUGUAUUUUAAUUCUAGAUACAUCCAUUUUUAUCCAUUUAUGCGACAAGUAAUUCCGGACGGAGGGAGUAGUACAAAGCAAAGUAGUGGACAACAACAAUGGCAACUUCAGGACCACAUCAGCAUUUCUGGAAUUGGAACAGAAGACUCUUCCGCCCCGUCUACUGGGUAACUGAUAGUGUCCACACAUUCUUCAGACUUGGCCAACAUCAGUGUUACUGGAAUUUCCACGCGGCGCUCCUCAUCACACGCGCACAAGUGGCAUUCGGCAGGACUGGGUUGCACCAAGUCUAUGCAGCCACUACAGCACGGCAGGGGGUUCCAUUAAAUUAGAUUUGGAAUUUUCUUUUUCCUGCCUACGAUCGAAGGCGACAUGUAAGGAAGAUCAGCUGUGGCCGGUGGCUCUGGUUAUCAAAUGCAAUUAUGUAGUUCAAUGACCGCGGUGAUUUCUUAGCAGCAAAGAGGAAAAAAGAACUAUUUAUCUAUGUCUUCGCGCCUUGCGGGUGCACAAUCCUGAAGGGGAGAAUGUGAGGGACUCUGCAACGAUGCCAAUUAUGCAACUGGAAACAUAACCUGGAAUGAUGUUGCUGUACACUAAAACUGCACUUCAGUAAAUUCGUGAUGAAACUGGAGACCAAUGGUUUUAUGGAUGUAUCAUAUGCAAAAUACAAAAUGUAUGCAAGCUAGCUUCUCAGUGACAAUCUUCCAUCCAUAAACUGCAUGUUACUGCCUGCAGAAUGAAAUACAAAUUUUCUCUGAAAAUGUUUCUCAAUAAGAAAAAGGCGGUCUUUUGUCACCUCUCACAAAGUUAUUUGUAUCAAGAACUGGUAUCAAGAAUUUGUUGUUCAAGCAAUAUUUUCCAUCAGAAUUUAUCGAGAGUAAUGAACAAACAAAUAUAUGGAUGUAAGAUGUCAACCUUAUUUGAUGAAGUUGCUCUGCACAGCAAGCAAGGCAGUUUGUACAAAGCAUUUAUACUGGGUUGGUACUGUUACAACCAUAACUUUUACAAAUAAGCGCAUCACUCCAUGAUACAUACAUAUACACGCACAUAUUGUAUAUAUACCUCACACGUCGUCUUCCUCUGACACCACACUCAAUUCCUCCUCCGAGACCGCCGACAGCUCGGAAGUGAACUGAUAAGAGUCCUCCACAUGGAUGUGCCCUUCGUCGCAGAAAAACGGCCUCGAAGGCAUCUGCAGGCCAUCAGCCCCAGCCUCCAGGAUCUCAAUGACCUCGCUCAUCGUCGGCCGAUCACGAGAUCUCAUUUGAAUACACCACAAUCCGACAACACAUAGCUUCUUCUCCAGCUCAUGCAUGUCAUUAGCAACAGCAGAUAUCUCGCCUGCUUCUUCCCGAGUCAGCCGGUCGUACACCCAGGACGGGUAGUACGCCUGGCUGGAGGAACCCAUGUUUGGAUCAGCGUUCCUUCUCCCGCCGGCCAUCUCCAGCAGCAACAUCCCGAAGCUGUACACGUCGGACUUGCUGGAUAUAACACCGAAGCCCCGGGAUAUCAUCUCGGGGGCUAUGUAGCCGACGGUUCCCCGCAUGGCGCUCAAAGGCACGAAAGUGUCACCCCUCGGGUACAGUUUGGCGAGUCCGAAAUCGGCGACCUUCGGGAUGAAAUUGCUGUCGAGAAGGAUGUUGUGCGGCUUGAUGUCAAAGUGUAGAAUCUGCAUGUCACACCCUUGAUGUAAGUAGUUGAUCCCCCUGGCAAUGCCCAAAGCGAUCUCAUUGAACUUGUCCCAUGAGAAGCUCUUCUCGGUAGAGAAGAUGUACUUGUCCAGAGAACCAUUGGGCAUGUACUCGUAGACUAAGGCCCUUCGCAUUUCCUCCGAGCAGAACCCCACCAAACGCACAACGUUGACAUGGUGGAUCCUGCCGAUGGUGGAGACCUCGCUGAUGAAAUCUUCUCCAUUGCAGUUUGAGUUGCCCUCUAGCAUCUUCACGGCGACAUGGACACCGCCUGGAAGAAGCACACCCUUGUACACAGAGCCGUAGCCCCCUUGGCCCAAUUUAUCUCUGAAAUGGCUUGUGACUGCAACUAUAUCUGUGUAGGAGUACCUCGCCGGGCCAAUCAUUUGUUGAAUCCUGAGGAACUUCUCAACUGCAUCAAUUAUGAUCCUUGUUUUCAUGUACUUGUAGGCUAGGAAUAUCCAUACAGCCAGGGGUGCCAACAAGAACCUGCACAGUACUGCACAACAAGUCGACAGAUAUGGACAUAAGUUAAAAGAAUGUAAAUUCUUUUUCGAGCGUCAAAUGUGUAUACAAUUCUCACGUACCAAAAAAGAACUGGAGGAUAGCAAUAGCAGAUACUAAGGUUGCAGCAAUCAAAAACAACUUUGUUGUGUAGUAGUAAUCAUCGUUAGAGCUCCCAGUCAUGCAUUCUAAGAAGUGCACCUCACUCCAGAAAAUAGCAUGAGUCCAAUUAACAAUGCUUGUGCCAGAUAUUUGCUCCUUGAAGUAGCUGCAAAUGAUACAAUUGAAAAUAAAUUAUAAUGCAGGCUGCCACCGUCAGGUUGGCUUAACAGCCCCAAGUCAAUUCUUCAAGAGAAUAGGGAGGUGAGAAACUAAACUCGGGAGGAAAUGGAACAACAGGGUGAUCACCUGAUUGAACUGUUGAGGCAUAAAUUGAUGUUCUUUCUUAACAUCACAAAAGUAGAAGGCCUCCUGUAAAUGUUGUCCACAGGAAAUCGGACAGUAAACCCCUUACUUAUGAAUUGUGUGAUAUCUGCAUAACUUGCAUUCUGCAGCUGUCGCCAAUCAGGAGAAUACUUGUUACCAAAUGGAAUCUCUGCCAGGUAUCCACAAUAAGGUUCAAGAUCUUCAACCGCACAGUACGUGUAAUUAGACACCCAGACAUAAACAUGUGAAUUUUUGGCACUCAGGCAAGCAACAGGCUUGUAUGCACUUUUAUUCAUUACUGCUCUUGAACAAUUAGCAAAACAUGCUCUGUCAUAACUCCGAGUGGCCAAAUACCGAAAGCCAGGUGGUGAAACUGAAUCAAUUCCGCCCAAGUAUCUACCAACGUAUCCACCAAAGUAUCCACCAAAGUAAGGAAGGUGAUUCCACAGUGGAAGAGGGCAGCUGCUACUAGUAUCAAAGUUGGUGUCCAUGACCGAGAAGUAGAAACCGGUGUAGUUGAUGGCAGUCACAUAGUAUGUUCCAGUGUUGAUGUGAAUCGUAGCCUUGCCACUGGUGCAACCCAGCUCGUAUGCUUCAACACCACAAUCAAGAGGAUCACCUCGCUGACGGAAAGGAGGCAAUAUGUCUCGGAGAUGUCCACAGGAGAAAGGUGAGCACCCAUAAUCUCCUCCCUGGACAUGAUCUGCUGCAAAAACUACAACGAGGGAGAAGACAGUUAAGGAUUGUAGGGUAAUAGAAUGAUGAGAUGCACCAGGGUUCCCCAUGAAAGCUUCACAUAUGCACUAUGGACUUCAUAUCCUAGUUACUUAUGUUAUAGAGUACUAAGGGGGGCAAGGAAUCGACAUCAACUAGUUGAUCAUAUCCAGCUGUAUAUACCAAUUAAUAGUGUGGUUGGGAUACUGAUUAUGACUUCAUUGGUAUAUACAUGAAGUUCAGAACAAGAGGAAGAUAUUUCUCUCCCAUUGUGUAGCUAGGAACAAAAGACGACUCGGGCUUGGAGUCUUCUGUCCCGUGGUCGUUUUCUCCAGAGAUGACAUACAAGAACUUUCAGGCAAUGCAAAAUACCAAUUGACACAUAUUUAUUGCUCAUGGCCGUUUUAUCCAGAGAUUACAG
This 13390-nucleotide long non-coding RNA is filed under the name Triticum aestivum (bread wheat). Its description in RNAcentral is "long non-coding RNA (TAES_LNC028525)". The stretch from base 9584 to 9708 matches the Rfam family "MIR1120/MIR1122 microRNA precursor family". The record is from RNAcentral. Lineage: Eukaryota; Viridiplantae; Streptophyta; Magnoliopsida; Poales; Poaceae.